CAAUAGCGUAUAUUAAAGUUGUUGCAGUUAAAAAGCUCGUAGUUGGAUUUCUGGUAGGAGCGACCGUGCCGAACUUGAUUGUUCGAGUAUUGUGUUGUCUUCAGCCAUCCUCGUGGAGAACUUUUCUAACAUUAACUUGUUGGGAUUGGGACCCGCGUCGUUUACUGUGAAAAAAUUAGAGUGUUUAAAGCAGGCAUUAGCUUGAAUACAUUAGCAUGGAAUAAUAAGAUAGGACUUUGGUACUAUUUUGUUGGUUUGCAUACCAAAUUAAUGAUCAACAGGAACAGUUUGAGGAUAUUCGUAUGAACAUGUCAGAGGUGAAAUUCUUGGAUUUUGAUCAGACGAACUACUGCGAAAGCACUUAUCAAGGAUGUUUUCAUUAA
RNAcentral lists this ribosomal RNA (383 nucleotides) under uncultured eukaryote. Its description in RNAcentral is "partial 18S ribosomal RNA". It matches the Rfam family "Eukaryotic small subunit ribosomal RNA", at positions 592 to 976 of the family's 1831-position model. The record is from RNAcentral.